GAUUUCUGGUAUGAUGUAUCUGUCCCGCCACGGUUAACGUGUGUGAGUGACGGUAUAUGUCUGCCAUCCUUCUAGAGGAAAUAUAGUGUUGGCCUUUACUGGUUCGAUAUUAUAUAUUAAUCUAGAUCUUUUACUUUGAAAAAAUUAGAGUGUUUAAAGCAGGCUUUUGCUAUGAAUACAUUAGCAUGGAAUAAUAAUCUAGGACUUCGGUUCUAUUUUGUUGGUUUCUAUAACUGAAGUAAUGAUUGAUAGGGAUAGUUGGGGGUGCUAGUAUUGGCCGGCCAGAGGUGAAAUUCUUGGAUUCGGUCAAGACUAACUUAUGCGAAAGCAUU
Molecule: ribosomal RNA, 332 nt
Filed under: Allapsidae sp.
Lineage: Eukaryota; Cercozoa; Glissomonadida; Viridiraptoridae
Description: SSU rRNA
Rfam family: Eukaryotic small subunit ribosomal RNA (bases 122-332)
Source: RNAcentral